This is a non-coding RNA of Myodes glareolus (Bank vole), 834 nucleotides long. The record is from RefSeq and is a predicted model, not a curated record. Lineage: Eukaryota; Metazoa; Chordata; Mammalia; Rodentia; Cricetidae.
AUGUACCUUAGUGGUAUAAAGUGUCUACCAUGGAGUUUCUGCUGCAUCCCCUUGCCUAUUGCCAUUCCCGCCUACAAGCUAGUCCUCAUUCGGCAAGUCGAGAGCGCCUGAAACCUGGAGAACUGCUCCAGCAGCUGGUAUGAUGCCGACCUGAGCCCGUCGGGCCACGAGGAGGCAAAGCACGGCGGACAGGUGUUGCGAGAUGUUGGCUAUGAAUUCGACAUCUGCUUCACCUCCGUGCAGAAGAGAGCAAUCCGGACCCUCUGGAUAGUCCUGGAUGCCAUUGACCAGAUGUCAAUGAGCGGCACUAUGGGGGGUCUGACUGGUCUCAAUAAAGCAGAAACUGCUGCUAAGCAUGGUGAGGCAAUCUUACGAUGUCCCACCACCACCAAUGAAGCCUGAUCAUCCCAUCUACAGCAACAUCAGUAAGGAUCGCAGGUACGCAGACCUUACUGAGGACCAGAUACCCUCCUGUGAGAGCCUGAAGGAUACUAUUGACAGAGCACUGCCCUUCUGGAAUGAAGAGAUUGUCCCCCACAUCAAAGAGGGGAAGAGAGUCCUGAUUGCGGCCCAUGGCGACAGCCUUCGGGGGAUCGUCAAGCAUCUGGAGGGUCUCUCAGAAGAGGCCAUCAUGGAGCUGAACCUGCCAACUGGCAUUCCCAUUGUCUAUGAAGUGGACAAGAACUUGAAACCCGUUAAACCCAUGCAGUUCCUGGGAGAUGAAGAGACCGUGCAGCAAGCCAUGGAAGCUGUGGCAGUUCAGGGCAAGGCCAAGGAGUGAAGGCGAGCAGACAGACUUCUACCCCCAAACCCUCCUCCCUGCCUGUUUCUGCC